UGAGCCACACACACGCCAAAAGAGAGGU
RNAcentral lists this non-coding RNA (28 nucleotides) under Rattus norvegicus (Norway rat). The record is from RNAcentral. Lineage: Eukaryota; Metazoa; Chordata; Mammalia; Rodentia; Muridae.